AGAUCUUCCCAGGUCUAUGGGGGCUUGGCAGAAGGGUUUUUGUCUCUAAACUCCUCCCAUGAUAGUUAUUGCACGUACAAGCUUAGGACCCCUUAAUUUCUGCAGCUGAAUUGGAGGACUGUUUGCUUUCACCAACUGACUUGUCUCUUGGUUAUUUUACAAUCUUCCCAUAGCUUCUGCAAUAAAACAUCGACAGUAUUUUGCUGCCUGGUGGCACGUUCCAGGAGGAGCAGGUCUGUGUGUUUGUCAUGCUCGCUUGCACAUAGUAAACCCAUUCUUUAUAUUCAGCUGUUGGCCAAUGGGGGGCAAUAAAUGAUUUAUAACCAUGGCAACAGUUGCUGCGGGAAACUGACAUCAACAAGAAUCUUUUUCAUGUCCACAUCAAUGAAACUAUUAAAAAUCUUCCCACUCUGAAUCGGGUGAGACCAUUUGUGACAACUUCCCCAGAACUGGCGUAGAGCAAAGCAGCGGGUUGCGAAUUCUGGUGUGGCUGUGAGGAGCUGCUGCCUUAUUUCCCUCCAUUUAAGCAAGAACACUGGCAAGAUGCCUGCCCUCCCCUGAGAGCCUCAUCCUCCAGGUGUCUUCAAGUCCAAUUUCUUAGUGAGUGGUGACAGUUUAAUGCCUUGGGACUGAAUUGCGGAGGAGAAGUUGAGGGGUGAUGGAUUGCCAGAGGAAUGCUGAAACCUGAGGACUUUAUCAUGCCAGGUCCUUCAGCCCAGAGUUUUAAACUUCUCUGGGUACUGAUGGAAGCAUGUAAAUAAGAACAAAGAUGAAGGUA
Molecule: long non-coding RNA, 778 nt
Organism: Cygnus olor (mute swan)
Lineage: Eukaryota; Metazoa; Chordata; Aves; Anseriformes; Anatidae
Exons: 3
Source: RefSeq, a predicted model, not a curated record